CGUUCCAUCCUCCCGACAGGAGGAGCGACCUGUGACCUCCGAGUCCGAGGUCGUGACCUCGGGCGAGGUCACGGGGUCCAGCGAGGUUGAGCCUGGGGUCAGGUCGGAGUCGGAGGUCGUGACCCCAAGGCGUGUGACCCUGGAAGCCGGAAGUCAGCAGAGGUCAGCAGCCAUUGCUCCCAGGCGGAUUCAACUGGUGACUUUAAGAAAUCCACGGUCAAGUGUCGGUACUAACUCAGCCGCCACCCCAACCAACAACCGCCACCACCAACCCAACAACCGCCACCACCAACCCAACAACCGCCACCACCAACCCAACAACCGCCACCACCAACCCAACAACCGCCACCACCAACCCAACAACCGCCACCACCAACCCAACAACCGUCACCACCAACCCAACAACCGCCACCACCACGGCCAACCCAACAUCCACAUCUGCUUCGCCAGAGAUAAAGAGACGGAGAGAGAUGGACACGGAGAGAGACACGGCGUCGAAGAGGCCUCGUGAGGAGGUGACGGGAGACUCGCCACCACCUCCACCACCACCCACCUCCUCACCACCACCACCCACCUCCUCACCACCACCACCACCCACCUCCUCACCACCACCACGACCCACCUCCUCACCAGCACCUCCUCACCAGCACCCUCCACCUCCUCACUGCCAAGGCGACGACGACCGUGACGUCAUCUUCAUAGAGGAUAACUGAGAGAGGUGAGGUGGAGGAGGUGGCAGAGGAGGAGGUGGAGCUGGUGGAGGAGGUGGUG
This is a non-coding RNA of Petromyzon marinus (sea lamprey), 771 nucleotides long. Lineage: Eukaryota; Metazoa; Chordata; Hyperoartia; Petromyzontiformes; Petromyzontidae. The record is from RefSeq and is a predicted model, not a curated record.